Molecule: non-coding RNA, 372 nt
Organism: Vicia faba (fava bean)
Lineage: Eukaryota; Viridiplantae; Streptophyta; Magnoliopsida; Fabales; Fabaceae
Source: the annotation of a GenBank genome assembly
AUGAUCUCACUCCACGGAGGGAAAAGGUUUGUUAAUUCAUUCAAAAGACGGGCUUUCCUAGCUCAUAUAGUGGAAAGCGCCCUUCCCACAUCGAUCCCUCGAGGUGGAAGAAUGAUGAAACCUGCCAAGUCUCUGGAGUGUGCUUCUAUCGCCCGAGCAAGAGAAGGGCUGCAGAUGAGCUAUCAAGUCGUGCAUUUCUCCCGAAACGGGUUUCCCUCCUUCCAUAGCAUCUUGCUUUCCUGGUUUGUUUAUGUCACUAAGCGUGAUAGCUUAACCGCGCUUCUAGCUCUAUCUCUAAAAGGAAUUCUUAAACCGGCCAUGCCAGACAAGUACUGGUUUAAGUUCCGCCAUCCCCUCUCCCAGUUGCUAUGA